GCCUUCAUGGUGUAGUGGUCAGCACUCUUGGCGUGUAUUCGAGAGGUCCGUGGUUCAAGUCCCGGCGAGGGCA
Molecule: transfer RNA, 73 nt
Filed under: Stegodyphus mimosarum
Lineage: Eukaryota; Metazoa; Arthropoda; Arachnida; Araneae; Eresidae
Rfam family: tRNA
About the family: Transfer RNA (tRNA) molecules are approximately 80 nucleotides in length. Their secondary structure includes four short double-helical elements and three loops (D, anti-codon, and T loops).
Source: Rfam by way of RNAcentral